This 73-nucleotide transfer RNA is filed under the name Marmota monax (woodchuck). RNAcentral's name for it is "tRNA.Ala". The record is from RNAcentral. Lineage: Eukaryota; Metazoa; Chordata; Mammalia; Rodentia; Sciuridae.
CUGGGGCUAUAUCUCAGUGGUGGAGUAUUUGCCUAGCAUGCACAAGGUCCUGGGUCCAAUCCCCAGCACCAGA